UUCUAGUUUGCGCCUACCCGAGGGGAGGAGCCGGAAGAGCCGGUGACCGGGAUGCGGAGGAUCCGAGAGGAUUUUGCACGCUCUUGUCUUAGUUCUGGCAGCGUGCAAGUCCUCAAGGGCGGGUCGGGGUGUACCGACAAUCCUUUCGGCAGUUUUGAUUGUCCGUUGCAGUCGGAGUUUGUCCUUUUUUGUAGCAGCGCCAAACCCGACCGUGAUGGAAGAACACAGGACCGAUUCGAUGAGCGCUGUGUAGAACCGCCUCAGCAGCUCCGGUGGCAGGCCGUGCUUUCUCAGAAGCCGCAGGAAGUACAUCCUCCGCUGGGCCUUUUUGAGGACGGAGUUGAUGUUGGUCCUGAGAGACUGUAAUUCCCAGGAACUUGAAGGUCUCGACAGUUGACAGUUAAAGUUUUUCCAACUUUGCAAUGUUCAUUUCUUUAGUCAGCUGGUUUCUAGCUGGAUUAUACAGGGCCCUGUCCCCGCUCUGAUAUGCGUCCUCCUUAGCUUGGCGAAGCUGCUUAAGUUUGGCAGUGAACCACGACUCGUUGUUGUUGAAUGUGCGAAAUGACUCUGUUGGUACACAGACCUCUUGACAGAAACCGAUAUAGGAUGUGACAGUGUCCGUAUAUUCAUCCAGGCUGCCAGCUGAGUUUUCAAAGACAAGAGGUGAUUUUCCAUCAUAUGUUCCCUUGAAAUAACACACAGAAUGUGUCCACCUCAUCACAUGUGCCACUACAAAUAUCAAAUUCCCGCUAUGAAAUCUUGCGUUUUGCAGGGCUCUGAAUGUUUGUGAGGUUAUGAAUGGGUGGAAUGUGGCUGAGAAGCACAUUCAAAAAGGGCUUAAGUGGAUUACACCUCAUUUCAAGGAUGCUUAUGGUAAGAUGAAAAAAGAUAUGGGGUAACUGAGGAAAAUGCUAAAUCUGAUAGAUUGAAUUUGAGUCAUCCUUUUCCCUCUGCCCUGAAAACCACUUGCCUGUGUAUGGUUGUGUGUGUGCAUCUUUUGUUUUUUUGUUUUUUGUGAGUGGAAAGUAAACAUCCGCAACCACUGGAGGUCUUUAUCAUAUGUGUGAGACAAAAAUACACAAAACUCCGCAUCCAGCUGAUUUUGGGGCAGAGGUGAGAUACAGAAUACACAAUAAUAGUAUUGUGUACCAGCGUACCGGGGUUGCCAGCCUAUCGCAGGACAAAGCAACCAUUCACACUCACUUUCACAAGUCUGGACAAUUUGGAGUCUUCGAUGAGCCUAACAUUUUGGGAAUGUUAGAGGAAGCCGCAGUAGGCUACCUGGAGAAAACCCACGCAAGAAUUGGAAGAACAUCCCAACGCCACAUGGGAGGGCCUAACGAGACGAGAUUUGAACCCAGUACAUGUCAUGGACUGCCCCGCAGUACUGUUUCGGAGCCCGCUUGGCAGCUUUGCGCCUUCUGGUCCUCUCUCUCUCCCCUCCCCUCUCCGUUUCAGCUUCUCCAAGCCACGCACCUGUCUCCAAUCAACCCUCAUCACCUCCUGCCUGCCUAUAAGCCUGCCUGUUCCCGGAAAUCCUCGCCAAAGCAUUGCAGCCUCUCCUAGCGGUACCACGGCCCACCGUACUCACGUAAGCUACUCGACUCCUCGUUCCCGGCGUUCCUGACCCACGUCAUUCCUGCCAGCCCCCUGUUCUGAUCAUUUUACAUCAGCCUCCGCCUGCUCUUUGGUUCAGCUACUUCCCACAGUACAGGAGAGCUGAUCACCGCUGCCUGUGAGCUGGGUGUGGCCCAUCCUCCCGGAUACCCGCUCUUCACGCUACUGUCUCGCCUGACAAUGUGUCUUCUGCCCACACUCUCACCAGCCCACAGUGUCAACCUCAUGAGCAGCCUGCUGGGGGCAGUGGCGUGUGGCACGCUCUGCAUGACUGUAUGCAGAUUGGUAGGUCCUGGUCCUGGAGCAGCACUGGCUGGAGGGGUCUUUGCCGUAUCCAGGCUGAGUUGGCAAUGGUCAAUGGUUGCGGAGGUUUUCACCCUCAACAACCUAUUCACUGGGCUGCUCUUCCUUUCUACUGCCAGCUUUCACUUGGCUAAGAAUGUAACUGAGAGGCGAAAGCUUUCACAAUGGGGGGCGCUUUGCUGCGGGCUGGGGCUCUGCAACCAGCAUACCCUGGUGCUGUAUGUACUUGCAGUCAUCCCGUGGGUCUUCCAUAGACUCCACUCACACAGGGAGCUGUCUCUGCGUAGCUUCAUGUCCAUGGGAAUAUGCUUCCUGCUGGGUUUUAUGCCCUACAUCUUCCUGCCUUUCUCCUCCUUCGUGAACUCAGCCCGUUGGAGCUGGGGGGACCAGACCACCAUGUCAGGCCUGCUAACCCACCUGCUCAGGGCUGAAUAUGGCACUUUCAGUCUGGCAAAGACGGAGAGCUCUGUGAACCUGACUGCAUUGCUUAAGGCCCAAUUGGACCACCUCCUGGCAGACCUUUCUCUUCCUAUUGUAGCUCUGGCGGGAUUAGGGCUGCUUCUCUCCUCAACGGAUAGAAUGUAUCGUUCUGUGUCCUGGCUAUUGACGUUCAUGCUGCUUAUAUACUCGUUUUUCUUUGCUUGGAGGGCUAACUUGGACAUCAGUAGACCUUUAAUGCUAGGAGUGGAAUCACUGCUCCAGGUUGAGCGCUUUUGGAUCCAAGGGGAUGCUGUUGUGUGUGUACUGGCUGGCCUUGGCUCCAGCCUGACCCUUAGCGGGCUGGAACGGAGUCUAGGCUACGGCGGGUUUUGGAAGACCACCGCCUGGGUCCUCACCACUGUUCUACUGGCACACAUGGUGCACACUAAUCACAGGGAAUGUGAUCAGAGCGGCAACAGCGUGGUGGAACGGUUCGGGAGGGAGCUUUUAGCGUCCUUCCCAGCAGACUCCAUCGUCCUGACCAGAGGAGAUCUGCCGGGAAACUCCCUCCGCUACCUGCAUUACUGUCUCGAUGUACGGCCCGAUGUGCGCCUGGUCGACCAGGAGAUGAUGACAUACAGUUGGUAUGUGGGAAAGCUGGGGCCUCACCUCCGUGGUGUGCACUUUCCCGGUCGCCAGUGGGACCCGGUCCACUCCAAGGAGAGAGACACCUUCAGUUUAGAGCGGUUUCUGAUCCACAACUCCCAGAGGGACGUGCUAGCCUGUAUUGGGCUGCCUGAUGGAGACCCAAGCUGGGGACGUAGCUUCUCCCGCUGGCCCUUUGGUGUGUGUGACUUCUUGGUGCCUGCUCGGAGGCAGUUUCACCCCAAAGAGUGGGCGAAACGCACAUACAACCUUUACAACUGGAGCGAGCCACACAAUCGUUUCCACUCUGCAUCGUGGGAGCGUGUGGCUAAUGAGGAGAUGUGGCAAGCCAGGAUGAAGAUGGCUUUCUUUCUAUUUGACCUGGCAGAGAGGAUGCAGGGAGAGGGCAAAUCGGACCUCUUUGAGCUCUCUUACACUCUGUAUAAAGCGCUUGUGGAGUCUUACUCCUCCUACCCUCCCAACUGGGACAAGAACCUGGCGCUGGCCUGCGAGAGGCUGGUCCGCUCGGGUCAUCGAGGCCACGGUCUAGACGGCCUGCUGACCUGCAGCAUCCAGCAUUUUAGCCUCUACUUGGACAAGGAACCCGCAGAUCCGCAGGCGCCCGCCAUACGCUCAGCUGUUGCCCACCUGUUGAAAGAGAGAGACCGGCACCGGCAGAGCCUUAAGAAGACCACCUGACAGGUCCUGACACCCGCAAGGGGCCCGCGGGCCUGGCGGGAUGGGAUGGGGCACUUCUCCCUGGGCAAGAAGAUGGAGCGGCUGCCCCUGCUGCUGGAGCUCCACGGAGAACAGAGUCAGGAUGGGCGAUGGAUUCACUCUCUGGCUCGUUCCCUCUCUCUCUCUCUCUCUCUCUCUCCUCUAUGCCGGCCUCGCUAUGGAUGUGCGGGCGCGCUGCUUGCAGAUGUGCACAAACAAGGGGGGAUUAAAGCAAAACGAAUCUAAACAGACAAAUGGAAUUAGAGUGAUGGGUGUCACUGGGCUGGUUCACAGUGAUAAACAAUAUGAUGCCCUGUGUGAGUGUGUGUCUGGGGGAUUAUCAGUGGUUAGGUGUGUGUGUGUGUGUGUGUGUGCGGCGUGUACGGCUGCUUCUGUGUGUUUGCCUAGCUGUCUAUAUUUUUGUAAUUAUGCGUGUGUAUAUUUGUUUUAUCACGUAUGUGCUUGGUAAUGUGUUAUUCCAUAUGAAUGCUGCAUGAUUGUGCUGCGCUUUUCUAUUUCCUUCUUGUGUUUACAUUUUGCCUCCACCUAGAAGGUUAUGCUUUUAUUGCCAUUUGUUUGUUUGUUUGUUUGUUUGUUUGUGAGCAGGAUUAAACAAAAACGAUGUAACUGAUUUCUCCCAAACUUUGUGGAGAGGUAGGUCACAGGCCACGACAGAGCUCAUAGAAUUUUGGUGAGCAUCUGGAAACAAGCGCAGAUCCUUUUUUUUGGGUUUGUUUUUAACGUUUCAAGGCCCUUUUCCCCUGACAUUUUUCUCAAUUUCGCAGUCGAUAAUGCUCGAAUCUUAAUAGCAAAAUGUUUCCACAUGCUGUUGUUGGUGAGUAUAAAUGCAUAUUUCUGUUUUGUUAUUGUUUGGGGUCAUUUUACAAAAUGUUUUCAUUUUCUUUUAUUUUGCCCAAACACAUACAAAUAGUAACUCCAGAGAAACUCAUUAUUUUUGCUGUGGUCUCCAAUGUUUUUCCUGAGCGGUAUAUCCAAACUUUAGCCUUCAGCGUACAGUAUAAAUGGAGUACCCCCCCCCCCCCCCCCCCCCCAAAAAAAAUUUUGUUUUGCAACAACCACUGCCUGUCAGUGUCAGGGCACAAGUUCAUGUGUGAACAUAUUUUCUUGUGGCAGGCCUUUGUGUUUAUUUGCUGAGGAGGUCAAGUGAUCGGAGGAGCCAGCAGGGGGGCUAGUGAUGGACAAUCUGCGGAACCCCUGCCGAGGGCCUCUGAGCUUAGUGAUAAGCCCUCCCUCGCCAGAUGGGCACAGCAUACCCCCAACAUUGCACAUCGCACAUCAGCACCAGCACCCUUUUGGUGCACCAGCACUCACCCCGCUGCCCCCAGCUCCCUCUUGGGGGAAAUAAGGCGACUGUAAUCCCCAUUUCCUCCACUGACUUGGAGGUCAUUUAGUGACACCAAAAUCCAAAGUCAUUUGAUUAAAACAUACGUUUCUAAUGUUCUAUCUCGACAGGACCACACGGGAAGGACGUAUGAUGAGGAAGGAAGGAACUCUUCACAGUGUCAGCGAGCGGACUGUGGGGCCAGUUAGCACGUCGGAGGCCAUCACAAUUCCAAUGUGCGGGCUGUUUGGAUGCACUGCUAUUUCAGAGCCAAAGGGAACACUGAAACUAACUGCAAAGAAGCACUUUCCUGUAAUCCCCUAAUCAGGCAUUACACCUCUGAGCGAAGCCACAACGCAGGCGCGCGGUGCGUGUGACGCAGCACGCCCACAGAGUGUAAUACGCCCUCGUCUCCCCUACGACGUCCCCGCGUGGCCGGCCGAGCGCCUGCUCGCCUCACGGCCGUCAUCCUCUCGAUGACCGAGACCGGACGCUGGCCCGCUCGGAGAGUGCAAUGUGGAGAUCGGCAGGGAUUAACCUGAGGAAUUUAAUUAGUGCUCCUUUUGCAUAACAUUUCAAUCAACCCGGGCGCGGUUGUGCUGGAGCCGGACACGUGAUGGCCAACAGCUGGGGAGCGAGGGGGCGAGAGAGGGUGGACCGUGCAGAGUACGAGUGAAAGAUGGCAACCAAUGAGUCUGGGUCGACUCGGAAUGGCUCUCGGGGCCUCGCGGGUGCUGACUUUGACCUUCUGAGCAUCGCCUUUGCUUCUAUUGGGAUUGUCAAUACGCCGAAUGACUUCCGUGACCGUUUGCCUCUUCGGAGGACCGAACGUGCCUGUCAGGAUUCAUCCGUCGCGUUCCAUUGCGGCGCUGCCCCGUUCCUCUUUUGAGACGCUUUGCGAGCUGCUGGCGACGCGUUGGAGGCGAGUUGGCGCCGUUCGCCGUGAAGUCAUUCGACUUGUAAGAGUUAGUCGUGAUCAAAGUGUGUCGGAGGCCAUGAAGCGUGGCAAAAUGAUCAAAUGUCAGCAGCCAGAUGUGCAACGUCAAAGCACUGCUUUUGCAGUGGAUCAGGGCUCACCAACGUGCAUGCUGCCGUCGGACCGAGGGCCUGUUCUCAAAAGAGUUCACCACUGACUGGACUUUGGGAUUUCAUUUGAUCAUUGGAAAAGGUGAAAGCCGUUUCCAUUGCGUUAUGGACCACGUGGAAUGGGACCGGAAUGGGACCGGAAUGGGACCGACCUGUUGCUCGGCGGAAAUGUUGCCAUUCGAAUCUUUUGUGGGAUUCCUAAUCUUCUCGAUUUGGGCCAACUAUUUGAAUCGAGGGGAAAAGACAAAGCGGCAAAUUGGGGCCUCGGUGUUGAUCAGGUUUGAAACACAUUUUAAACCGAUUCCGUAUUUUUUCAAAUGGAGCUCAACAAAAAAAAAACCCAAAUGACAUUUGAUAUUAUUCGAUUUGUAUUUCUCUUCCCUCGUCAUGUGCUUAGCAGUCUGGACUUUGCUUGUAAAUGUAUUUGACAUCACCACAUUCCAACAAUAAUUCUGUCGUUAUUCAUACGCCAUACAACCCAAAUGAUGAAUUAGGUUUGCGCGCGCUCACGCACAAACACACAAACACACAAACACACACGCACACAGACAAAGAUUGUCUAUUAAGUGAACGCUGAAGGGACCUUAUGUUUGUUUAUUAUUAUUCUUCUUCAUGUCUUUCCAGCGGGGAGGCCACAGCAUAUUUGGAGGCUGCGCCGGACCCGCAAUCGUCUUGAGAUCGACGAGCCUUUUAGCGCAUCCAUGUCCGCGCACAGCAAGCAUCCUCGUCGUUGCGGAACAAAGAAGCAUAAUUAAAGGAGGUUCUGAGUCCGGGGUUCGAGUUCCGUGGCCUUGCGGGUGUAACUUGUCCUCAACAGGGCAAAUGAUCGACUACAAUCCUGCUCCUCAUUUCUAUGAGCAGCCCAAACGAAUCCUUAGCGAGUGGAAAAAAACAAAACCAAAAAAAAAAAGUGAACCCACCUUGCCCCUGGACGAGUGCAAACGUCUUUUGUGUGUCCUCUUGCGCGAGUGACGAAAAUCAACUGAGAGCAAAGACGUCCUGCAGGUCAAUAUCGAAAAAGAUGCCACAGAAGAAAACAAAAACAAAAAGAAGACGAGGAAAAAACACCAAGGCGAAAAAGAAAAAGAAAAAGAAAAAGAAGCAGAAUCCGCAGUGUCAGGACACAAAGUUCAGCGUGGAGCGUCUGUGUUCGGUUUUGAAGCAGUGCUGCAGCAGCGAAAUGAUGAGGAGGAGGAGGAUGAGGAUGAGGAUGAGGAUGAGGAUGAUGAUGAUGAUGGAGGAGGAGGAAGAGGAGGAGGAGGAGGAGGCAGCAUAGGAUUUGUUGGUGUGUUAGGAGUGAAGUGCUUGGAGUUGGAAUUUGUACAGCGAGGCAGCCAAUAGGAGCUCUGCUCCCCCCUUACCCCCCCCCCCAGCGCCCCCCCCCCCCCCCAUACUUUUUUGGAACCACUGUCCUCAUCCAAUGGCCCCGCGAGAGAGUCUUCCACUUAGGCUUUAACAAGUGGAGUGGAGUUUAAACUAAAAAAAAAUAAAAUAAUCGUUCCCCCCCCCCCCAUAGCUAGAUGUGCAAUAUAUCCAAAAAUAUCACAUUAGCAAAUUCCCAUAUUAGGCCAUUCAUACACAUAUCACAGUAGGUCACUCUGCAUUUAGUACAAGUCGUUUUUCCAAAGUGUAAAGUGAGUCACAGAAUCACCCUGCGUCACGCAAUCAUCCAAUACAUCAGUCAAACUCAAUGAAUGUCCCUCAAUAUGGAGAGAAAGAGUUCCAAAAAAGGAGAGGGACGCCUUCCUCUCACAUUCCCGCGACGCCAAAAAAAAAAAAAAAAGAGGAUUUAGGGACUUAUUUCUUUCCCCAAAAAAAGUGUCCUCUCAUCCGCAGAGCAGCCAGUGUGUCACGACACUGCAGGCCUGCGCCCGUGGAGGAAGAGGAGGAUGAAGAUGUUCAAUCGACGAGAUUUCCACGCAGAGGCGAAGGAAGAGCUUUGCGGUUGUUGUGGUCGCCCAAAGUUGGAUUUCUUGGGUUUUUCUUUUUCUUCUGGAGGAAAGCAGGAGUUUGCCGACAAACAAACGGAUGCAAUUAAAUUCGCUGCCAUCAUCACAGAGGAGGCAAGGGGGGGGAGAAGGAUGCACAUGCACAAGUCAAGGUUGGCUGAAGGGGAAAAGGUCAACUCACAAAGACGCCCAAGCCAACUCAAAGUUGGCUCUUAUUUUAAGCGAGGUGUGUGUUACGCUGCGAAAGGCCAACGCUUACCGAGUGAAUUUUGUUGAUUUCUCGUGGAAACGUCUUCUUAUUUUAAGACAAUCUUGAUGGUUUUCUAAAUUUUCGGAAAUACAAAAAGACGUUAAGAUUCAAGAUCAUAUUUUGAGAAUCUUAUCAAGGCAAUUCAUAUAAGUUCAAUUGGCAGAUUUCCCACCCACUUAUUUUAGAGACCAAACGGCUUGUUUUUAAUAUUGUUUUACUUGUUUUGAGAAAGUCAUUUUUUCCAGUGUAUGGACGAACCGCUGAUUUUUUUUCAGACCAAGUACGAGUACAAGUACCUACAUUUGAGUACUAGCCAAUACCAAGUACUGUACUAUGCCAUCAUGUCUUGUGAAAAUGUGUUUCAUUUGAAUGAAAUAUUGUUCAAAACAGCCAUUUUUAUUCAACGUGCUUUAAAUUCCCCUCAAAUACUUGCUUAAUUAUCAGAGGUGGAACCAAGUCAAUGCUUUGCAAGUCACAAGUCAGUCUCAAGUCGCAAGCCCUCAAUUCCCGAGUCAAGUCGCAAGUCCCACACUUUGACUUUUGAGUCCUUUCGAGUCAUUUUACCGACAAAAUAAUAUAUAAAAUAUAUUAUAUACUGAAUUUAUAUUUUGUAUUUAUCAAAACCAAUUUGAUAAACAAGUGCAUUGAACCUUAAUAAGAAAACUCAAAAGUUUAUUGCCCCUUCAAAACUGAUCGAUAGCACGUUUUCAGUUAUUCUAUUGUAUUUUUUCCUCACUUUAUUUCAUCCAGUAGUGCUGCAAUUUCUAUCGGAAUCAUCAAUUAUAAGGAUAAAAUAUUUUUUUUCUUGGUGAAAGAGCAAUUAUGAAUACGCAAAAGAAAAUGAAACAUUUCACUUAAUAAUGAACGACCAAUUAGUUUCCCUCUUUUAGUUAAUCAACAGUAUUUUUCUUAAAUUCACAUUCACAUCUUCAAACACAAAUAUAGAUUGAUUUCAGUUUCAAUUCGGCAUUUCUUGUGAGUAUCAAACACAAAGCAUUCAUUGAACAAAAAGAUGAACACAAGUUUGUCAUCUUGUUAUAAAGGUACAAUUUUAUCCAACUGUGGUAUCUCAGUCGGAACACUAGGGGACACUACGUACAAAUAUUACGUCCAAAAGAAGCAAAGAAAAGGGCACGAAGAAGAAUGUAGUUUCUUAUUGAAUCGACGCUAGCUGUGUGCUGGUCGAUUGGUAAAUAAAGUGAAUCAUGAAAAAAAUAGUACAAGAGCGAUUCUCGAGAACACUACACUGACUAAAGCAGACUGUAAUGUACAGGAAGCCCAGACAGCGCACAGCCCGCCAUGUAACUAUUUGUGUGAUCGCUCACAAAGCUAGCUGCUAAUGCUAACGAAAACAAGCAUACGUGACGUCAUGCUGUAAGAGUCCCACAAUGCAAUGUGUAUUUUUCUUUUGUUUGCCAUAAUUUACCUCCUUAUUGUUACAUUAAAUGUCGUUGUCGUUUCUGUAUACUAUGUUAACAGUGGUUCUUGGAACCUUUUCUAGCUGUCACAUUUAUUGUUGGCUUAUGUUUGACUGUUUUUUGUUGUCACUGAUGCUGUAGCGGUACACUUGCCGGACUUUGGUGCCGGCAGUGUGGGUUCAGUUCCGACUCAGUGACGGUGUGAAUGGUUGUCUGUGUCUAUAUGGGCCCUGCGACCAGUUCAGGGUGUAGUAUGCCUUUCGCCCAAAGUCAGCUGGGAUAGGCUCCUGUGACCCUGAACAGGAUAAGCGGUGUUUAGAACGGAUGUAUGGUUUUUUAUUUAUAUAUAUAUUUUUUUUAAGGAAACCAUGACUUUAAGUAGUGUGUGGAAAAAAAUGACCUCUUGGUCAAUUUUCUACCACAGCGUGCCCAACAGAGUUUUAACUUUUAAAAGAUAAAUGAAUCACACAUUAAUAAUGAUGACGUCUGGGACACGUCACCCUAAUAGAUAAUCAUUAAGAUCUUCAGCAUCAUGUUGUCACUUAUCAUAUUUUACUGUAGUAAAACAGUAAGUUGCACAUAUAGCCAUAAAACGAGAAGGCUACAAAGUGUUGGUUUCUCAGUGCUUCCAUCAAAGUAACAAGUCUUUUCAAGUCAAUGGGUUCAAGUCACGAGUCAUUUCUGUUCAAGUCCAAGUCGAGUUGCAAAUCUUUUAGCGUAUUGUUAAGUCUUAUUGUUGAGUCUAAAGUCAUCAAAUUCACAACUUGAGUCUGACUCGAGUCCAAAUCAUGUGACUUGAGUCCACACCGCUGUUUAUUAUUAUUAUUAUUAUUAUUAUUAUACUGUUUUGUAUUUGUUCAUCUUUAUUAUGUAAAGCACUUUGUUAAAGCUGUUUUUUUUUUUUUUUUUUCUUAAAGUGUCCUCUAAAUAAUGUCUAGUCGAGUUUUUUUCUGUUCUUAUACAUAUUUGCAUGGGAUGUACAAUAAAUGUGCUGCUUCUGUUGUGCACACUCUGGCCUGCAGGUUGGCAGCGUGGUGCACUCAUACAUAUAGCGUACAUACAUUUGAUGAAAAGACUCAAAAAGGAGAUUAGUAAUUGAGCUUCACUAACAUUACUUGUUUGCCUUUGAACAUUGUGAAAUCAUAUUUCUGUAUAUGUUGCUGCGUCGUUUGUGUGCACAUAUUUGUUAUUUCAAAGUUUACACUGCGACAAUGAUGCUAUCCAUUAGCCAGUCGACGGUGUUUUGCAUUAUGUGUUAGCAUUAAGCUAGAGGAGACGGAACUAUGCAUUUGUAAGAUGGCGUAUGUGUUUGCCUAAUUAUAUAACGUGUAAUUCUCUUUAUUGUUUGUUUAGUUUUACAGUAAACUUCAACUGGAGUGUCAAUAAACAGCUUGACGCAAGCAAAUGUGGA
Molecule: RNA transcript, 11158 nt
Organism: Phyllopteryx taeniolatus (common seadragon)
Lineage: Eukaryota; Metazoa; Chordata; Actinopteri; Syngnathiformes; Syngnathidae
Gene: tmem260
Gene name: transmembrane protein 260
Exons: 25
Source: RefSeq, a predicted model, not a curated record